GGGUAGCCGACCUUGAGAGGGGUGAUCGGGCCCACAUUGGGACUGAGACCACGGGCCCCAGACUCCUUACGGGGAGGGCAGCAGUGGGGGAGUAUUUGCACGAAUGGGGGGAAAACCCUGGAUUGCAAGCAAACGCCCGCGUGAAGCGAAAGAAAGGGCUCUUUCGGGGUUUGUAAAAGCUCUGUUCUUUCCUCUGACGAUAAAUGAACGGGUAAGGGGAAGGGAGGGAAAGCCCACGGGCUAAACUUACGUGCCCAGCAGCCCGCGGGUAAAUACCGUUAGGGUGGGCGAAGCGUUUGUCCCGGAAAUUAUUUGGGCGGUAAAGGGUGCCGUAGGCGGUUUUUUAAAGUUGGGAUGGUGAAAUCCAUGGGCUUUAACCCAUGAAUUGCAUUUCCAAACUGGAAAGCUUUGAAUGCAGAGAGAAAGCGAAUUCCCAGUGUAGCCGGUGAAUGCGUAGAUAUGGGAGGAACACCCAGUGGGCGAAGGCGGCUUUCUGGACUGUAACUGACGCUGAGGCACGAAAGCGUGGGGGAGCAAACAGGAUUAGAUACCGUGGUAGUCACGCUGUAAACGAUGGGUACUAGGUGUAGGGGGGCGUAGCCCUCUGGGCCGCAGUUAACACAUUAAGUACCCCGCCUGGGAAGUACGAUCGCAAGAUUAAAACUCAAAGGAAUUGACGGGGGCCCGCACAAGCAGCGGAGCAUGUGGUUUAAUUCGAAGCAACGCGAAGAACCUUACCAGGGCUUGACAUCCUACUAAUCCUGUAGAGAUACGGGAGUGCCCUUUUGGGAAAGUAGAGACAGGUGGUGCAUGGUUGUCGUCAGCUCGUGUCGUGAGAUGUUGGGUUAAGUCCCGCAACGAGCGCAACCCCUGCCUUUAGUUGCCAGCAUUAAGUUGGGCACUCUAAAGGGACUGCUAGGGUUAACCUAGAGGAAGGUGGGGAUGACGUCAAAUCAUCAUGCCCUUUAUGCCCUGGGCUACACACGUGCUACAAUGGCCGGUACAAAGAGCAGCGAGGCCGCGAGGCGGAGCAAAUCUUAAAAACCGGUCCCAGUUCAGAUUGUAGGCUGCAACUCGCCUACAUGAAGCCGGAGUUGCUAGUAAUCGCGAAUCAGCAUGUCGCGGUGAAUGCGUUCCCGGGCCUUGUACUCACCGCCCGUCACACCAUGAGAGUCUGCAACGCCCGAAGUCAGUGGGCUAACGCGAAAAGCGAGGCAGCUGCCGAAGGUGGGGCCGAUGAUUGGGGUUG
RNAcentral lists this ribosomal RNA (1249 nucleotides) under uncultured bacterium. Its description in RNAcentral is "bacterial SSU rRNA". It matches the Rfam family "Bacterial small subunit ribosomal RNA", at positions 281 to 1483 of the family's 1533-position model. The record is from RNAcentral.